Long non-coding RNA from Branchiostoma floridae (Florida lancelet), 641 nucleotides. RefSeq lists it as uncharacterized. NCBI's taxonomy places the organism in Eukaryota, Metazoa, Chordata, Leptocardii, Amphioxiformes, Branchiostomatidae. The record is from RefSeq and is a predicted model, not a curated record. The transcript has 3 exons.
CAUUCUGCGGCUGGUCCCAGCCUCCCGUGUACGUCUCGAUGUCACCACUCUUGGGGAUUUACUUUCGCAGUGAUGCAGCCGUGACAGCAACUGGUUUUAAAAUUCAUUACUACCUACAGGACAAGUCUGAAGACGAUCGGCAAGGAUACCAAAGGAUACACCACCUGUCGGGAGAUACUGGCGAGUUCUCCUCCAUGAACUACCCGCACUACCCCUACCGUAACCACGUGUUUCAACGGUGGAACAUCACCGUUGAUGUACACAAAGCUGUCAAACUGACGUUUUUGGUCUUGGAUGUGGAGUACACCGAGGGUUGUGUACAUGACUAUGUAUUAGUCUUUGACUACUACGAGCACUUUUUUUUUCUGUGCCCCCUGUGCCCACCACUUGACCAGCACUAUAACCUCAACUGAACACAGCCUUGAUGUACUUUUCGUCACAGACUUUAAGAUUCGCAAAGCUGGAUUUUUGGCACGCUAUGAAGCAGUGGACAAAAAUCAAGGAAAUUCUCCUCCUGACUUUCUGGCUUCUAGAUCUGAUUGGCUCUUUGUCAGCGACAAGAUCAAACAAAUCAGCAUCAGUGACUCAACUAAUCAGGUUUGGGCUCUCGAUGAAGAUGGCACGCCUCUGCGACGCACAAA